Molecule: transfer RNA, 85 nt
Filed under: Gammaproteobacteria bacterium
Lineage: Bacteria; Pseudomonadati; Pseudomonadota; Gammaproteobacteria
Also listed under: 1 other name
Description: tRNA-Leu
Rfam family: tRNA
About the family: Transfer RNA (tRNA) molecules are approximately 80 nucleotides in length. Their secondary structure includes four short double-helical elements and three loops (D, anti-codon, and T loops). Further hydrogen bonds mediate the characteristic L-shaped molecular structure. tRNAs have two regions of fundamental functional importance: the anti-codon, which is responsible for specific mRNA codon recognition, and the 3' end, to which the tRNAs corresponding amino acid is attached (by aminoacyl-tRNA synthetases). tRNAs cope with the degeneracy of the genetic code in two manners: having more than one tRNA (with a specific anti-codon) for a particular amino acid; and 'wobble' base-pairing, i.e. permitting non-standard base-pairing at the 3rd anti-codon position.
Source: RNAcentral
GCCGAUGUGGUGGAAUUGGUAGACACGCUAUCUUGAGGGGGUAGUGUCUUAGGACGUGCCGGUUCGAGUCCGGCCAUCGGCACCA